ACGGGUGAGUAAUAUAUCGGAACGUGCCCUGUAGUGGGGGAUAACUAGUCGAAAGAUUAGCUAAUACCGCAUACGACCUGAGGGUGAAAGUGGGGGACCGCAAGGCCUCAUGCUAUAGGAGCGGCCGAUGUCUGAUUAGCUAGUUGGUGGGGUAAAGGCCCACCAAGGCGACGAUCAGUAGCUGGUCUGAGAGGACGAUCAGCCACACUGGGACUGAGACACGGCCCAGACUCCUACGGGAGGCAGCAGUGGGGAAUUUUGGACAAUGGGGGCAACCCUGAUCCAGCAAUGCCGCGUGUGUGAAGAAGGCCUUCGGGUUGUAAAGCACUUUUGUCCGGAAAGAAAUCGCACUUACUAAUAUUAGGUGUGGAUGACGGUACCGGAAGAAUAAGGACCGGCUAACUACGUGCCAGCAGCCGCGGUAAUACGUAGGGUCCAAGCGUUAAUCGGAAUUACUGGGCGUAAAGCGUGCGCAGGCGGUUGUGCAAGACCGAUGUGAAAUCCCCGGGCUUAACCUGGGAAUUGCAUUGGUGACUGCACGGCUAGAGUGUGUCAGAGGGGGGUAGAAUUCCACGU
Molecule: ribosomal RNA, 576 nt
Filed under: uncultured bacterium
Lineage: Bacteria
Description: bacterial SSU rRNA
Rfam family: Bacterial small subunit ribosomal RNA
Source: RNAcentral